RNAcentral lists this ribosomal RNA (465 nucleotides) under uncultured bacterium. RNAcentral's name for it is "bacterial SSU rRNA". It matches the Rfam family "Bacterial small subunit ribosomal RNA", at positions 330 to 796 of the family's 1533-position model. The record is from RNAcentral.
UCCAGACUCCUACGGGAGGCAGCAGUGAGGAAUAUUGGUCAAUGGGCGAGAGCCUGAACCAGCCAAGUCGCGUGAGGGAGUACUGCCCUAUGGGUUGUAAACCUCUUUUGUCGGGGUGCAAAAGCCGGACGUGUCCGGCUGUGAGAGUACCCGAAGAAAAGGCAUCGGCUAACUCCGUGCCAGCAGCCGCGGUAAUACGGAGGAUGCGAGCGUUAUCCGGAUUUAUUGGGUUUAAAGGGUGCGCAGGCGGAGGUGCAAGUCAGCGGUCAAAUUGCGGGGCUCAACCCCGUACUGCCGUUGAAACUGGCGGCCUCGAGUGGGCGAGAAGUAUGCGGAAUGCGUGGUGUAGCGGUGAAAUGCAUAGAUAUCACGCAGAACUCCGAUUGCGAAGGCAGCAUACCGGCGCCCGACUGACGCUGAGGCACGAAAGCGUGGGUAUCGAACAGGAUUAGAUACCCUGGUACC